Molecule: long non-coding RNA, 313 nt
Filed under: Mytilus galloprovincialis (Mediterranean mussel)
Lineage: Eukaryota; Metazoa; Mollusca; Bivalvia; Mytilida; Mytilidae
Source: RNAcentral
GUGGUAAGUAACAGACAUAUUUUUAUGAAUACUAAAAGAUUUAUUCCUUUAAAAGGUAAUGGAACAGGAUAACCAGAUAUACUAAAAAAAUCUUUUAUUCCUCUCCGUCUUAAGGAAGGUAGGGCUUGAUUACUUUUUUAGAAUUAAGUAUAUGACUGCAAUGUCAAUUGUCAAUGAGAGGAACAAGGUAUAGAAAAGAAAAUUGAUGGUAAAUUACUACAAAAUGAAAGACCGAUGAAACUAUAUUUAAAAGAUAAGGUGAUUCGAUAGGUCAAACAUAAAAACUAUAUACUAUAUUAAUAAUAUGUUAAAG